RNAcentral lists this ribosomal RNA (301 nucleotides) under uncultured bacterium. Its description in RNAcentral is "partial 16S ribosomal RNA". It matches the Rfam family "Bacterial small subunit ribosomal RNA", at positions 509 to 807 of the family's 1533-position model. The record is from RNAcentral.
CAGUCGCCACGGUAAUACAAGGGGGGCAAGCGUUGUUCGGAAUUAUUGGGCGUAAAGGGUGCGUAGGCGGCUUGACAAGUCUUGUGUGAAAUCUAUGGGCUCAACCCAUAGUCUGCACGGGAAACUGUCGGGCUUGAGAAUGGGAGAGGUGAGUGGAAUUUCCGGUGUAGCGGUGAAAUGCGUAGAUAUCGGAAGGAACACCUGUGGCGAAGGCGGCUCACUGGACCAUUUCUGACGCUGAUGCACGAAAGCUAGGGGAGCAAACAGGAUUAGAUACCCCCGUAGUCCCUGUCUCUUAUAC